CGGCAUAUGCAUGGAGUUGUGCAUAAUGUGAAUAAGGGCAUAAUAGGAAGAAAAAAUGCAUUCAUAAUUCCCUCACCCUCCUGGAAUUCAAGUACCUCAUCUAUCCAGGGAAUCUUACUCCUCCAAUUUCAGGAAUUGAAUUCCUUGUUUCGGGUGGGGUCCACCACACUAUUGAUUCCCCAGUAUUUAGUAAACACCAGAGUAACCAGUAAUCAGAAUUCAAUUCUGUUUUUUUAUUCCCAUUACCCUUACAUAAACGCGCUCUUACAACCUUUUGUAUGUAAGCUAGUAUUCCAGCUUUGAGACUACUUUUAGACAAGUGGUACAUUUCCAUUUGUAGUACUCCCACUAGGCCCAACACAAAACCUUAGCUUGUGAAGAAACCUAAGUGCGUAACAUCAUUAUUUUACUCCACUAAACUUCCAAUCUUUUAGAGACAUUUAAUGAGGAUGUCACAAGAAAUUAGUCAACCUGUAAGUCUAUAUCCUAGACAAUUGUCUCUCUAUAUGUUAGAAGUGGCGUAAGCUAAUUGAAAAUGCAAAGUCUAUCUCCGCUCGUUUAAUUUAUUUAGGGUUUUAUGGACUAAUUGUAGGCAGCAAACUUUCAAGAAACGUCUCCCACUAGGUUGGAAGAGUUAAAUUGCGCAUACACCACCUUAUGAUGUUGUGUGACAUUACCCAAAAAAAAUUAAAAAUCCUUUCCAAGUGAUUGGAAUCCUACUCGCAAUUUCUUGGUUUUCCAAGAAGAGUGAUCGACUAUAUUCUUUGAUGUAAAUAUAAAGUUGUUAAACCAAGGUCGACAAUGUACAAUAAAGAAUACCUGCCCUUGAGUAGUACGAAAAAUAAUAAGAUUUUCGGAAUAUUAUAGGGAGCAUUUACUAGUGCUCUCAUCUAAAAUAAAAUUGCAAUUGUAGUAAAUUAGUUCAUUAAUUCGAGCUGGAUUUGAACAUCAAAGUAUGGCUUAUCACUUAGUGAGUGAGUCAAAUAAUAACCCAUCUGUACCAUACUUUGACUGUAUUUUUCUUUAAAAACACUUGUCUUAAAAUUACAAAGCAUUUUAACAUUUCAAAUGUUGGUACAUCGAAGGGGACAAAUAUUCCGAAAAAUAUUGCUCAAUCAUGAAAUGUUGAAGAAAUAUUCUAAGUCCAAAGUUAAGGAGUGAGAAGUCAUUCGCAAUCUCCUUAAAUUUCCCAUGUUGAUAAAUCGCUUAGUACUUCACGAAAUAGAUAUAGAUAACUUGAUUAUGUAAUCUUCAUUUGAGUUCUCACCAUAUAUGCUUCAAAUACAACUACAAAAGAAGUAUGAGCCAAAUUUGCAUGUAUAUACUUCAUUAAGCAUAGAGUUAUAAUAGUACUCACUCAACGAAUGCAAGUGAGAUGUCUCUUUCUCCAACAUUAAUAGCAUUAACAAUGUUUGAGCAUUUUAUCAUUCUCUCCCUCAUCUUCUUGAAUUGGACUAUUUUGAUCAUGCCUCAUAGCGUCAAAGUGAUACCAUAGAGGCUAAACUAAAAGAGAAAAAAGUAUUACUCUCUCUUAGAGCUAAGAGAAUUGUUUCUCUUAUUGUGUCUUCUCCUUUCCCCAAAGCCCUCUUUAUAUAUUGGCUAGGAGGGGAGGAUAAAUGAAACGGUCAAUGUGGGACAAAUAACACAUAUCAAUAACACACCAUAUAUUGAGUGGAUUAAUAUUGUGUUUUAUAUAAUACAAUUAUCAUA
RNAcentral lists this long non-coding RNA (1710 nucleotides) under Malus domestica (apple). Its description in RNAcentral is "long non-coding RNA (MDOM_LNC013182)". Lineage: Eukaryota; Viridiplantae; Streptophyta; Magnoliopsida; Rosales; Rosaceae. The record is from RNAcentral.